Molecule: ribosomal RNA, 575 nt
Filed under: uncultured bacterium
Lineage: Bacteria
Description: bacterial SSU rRNA
Rfam family: Bacterial small subunit ribosomal RNA
Source: RNAcentral
CGGGAGGCAGCAGUGAGGAAUAUUGCGCAAUGGAGGAAACUCUGACGCAGCCAUGCCGCGNUGCAGGAAGACGGCCCUACGGGUUGUAAACUGCUUUUAUAUAGGAAGAAACCCCGAUACGUGUAUCGGCUUGACGGUACUAUAUGAAUAAGGACCGGCUAACUCCGUGCCAGCAGCCGCGGUAAUACGGAGGGUCCAAGCGUUAUCCGGAUUUAUUAGGUUUAAAGGGUCCGCAGGCGGGAUUUUAAGUCAGUGGUGAAAGCCUACAGCUCAACUGUAGAACUGCCAUUGAUACUGAUAUCCUUGAGUGUGGUUGAAGUGGGCGGAACAUGCCAUGUAGCGGUGAAAUGCAUAGAUAUGACAUAGAACACCAAUUGCGAAGGCAGCUCACUAAGCCAUUACUGACGCUGAGGGACGAAAGCGUGGGGAGCGAACAGGAUUAGAUACCCUGGUAGUCCACGCCGUAAACGAUGAUCACUCGUUGCUAGCGAUACACUGUUAGUGACCAAGCGAAAGUGUUAAGUGAUCCACCUGGGAAGUACGUUCGCAAGAAUGAAACUCAAAUGAAUUGACGG